Molecule: long non-coding RNA, 374 nt
Filed under: Eucalyptus grandis
Lineage: Eukaryota; Viridiplantae; Streptophyta; Magnoliopsida; Myrtales; Myrtaceae
Description: long non-coding RNA (EGRA_LNC007828)
Source: RNAcentral
UGCGAUACUAACAGAGAUGGUGGUGGCAGCUUUCGCAGAGGUAGCGAAGAGCGAACUUGCUCCCGAGUUUCAAGAGCGUGAAUAUCUUCCUCUUGAUGCCCCCUCUAACCGGCGGAAACCUCACCAGUCUUGCACCGCCCAUCGCCCUCUGCGUUGCGGCCGCGAGCCUCGGCCUCUCCACCUCCUCCAUCUUCACCUUCUACUUCCACGGGGGUAUCACUCUUUUGUGCGUGUGUGCGUGUGUAUGUGUGUGCAUGAAACAUCACUGCAUGGAGAAACAGAAAACUGUGGAGGGGAGGGAGGGAGGAACCUUCGUGUCACCUUCAUGCAGAGGGGUCUUGGGCAGACAGGGCCAAGCUGCGGCCACUUUUGGG